ACAUGGCAGGAAUCCUGAAGAGAUUGGGAGUGCUCGAAGAGAACCUGCACACAGGUGCUGCAUGGCUGUCGUCAGCUCGUGUCGUGAGAUGUUGGGUUAAGUCCCGCAACGAGCGCAACCCUUGCCAUUAGUUGCUACGAAAGGGCACUCUAAUGGGACUGCCGGUGACAAACCGGAGGAAGGUGGGGAUGACGUCAAGUCCUCAUGGCCCUUAUAGGUGGGGCUACACACGUCAUACAAUGGCCGGUACAGAGGGUAGCCAACCCGCGAGGGGGAGCCAAUCCCACAAAGCCGGUCGUAGUCCGGAUCGCAGUCUGCAACUCGACUGCGUGAAGUCGGAAUCGCUAGUAAUCGCGGAUCAGCAUGUCGCGGUGAAUACGUUCCCGGGUCUU
RNAcentral lists this ribosomal RNA (392 nucleotides) under uncultured Allobrachymonas sp. RNAcentral describes it as "bacterial SSU rRNA". It matches the Rfam family "Bacterial small subunit ribosomal RNA", at positions 984 to 1382 of the family's 1533-position model. The record is from RNAcentral. Lineage: Bacteria; Pseudomonadati; Pseudomonadota; Betaproteobacteria; Burkholderiales; Comamonadaceae.